Long non-coding RNA from Numida meleagris (helmeted guineafowl), 2600 nucleotides. RefSeq lists it as uncharacterized. The record is from RefSeq and is a predicted model, not a curated record. Lineage: Eukaryota; Metazoa; Chordata; Aves; Galliformes; Numididae. The transcript has 3 exons.
GUUCAUGAACUAAAAGCCGACUACUUUGACAAAAAACAAAAAAAACCAUCCAACUCUAUUAUGUAUUUAUUUUAUUUCAAAAUUGUACAUUUCUUAUGGAAUCCAGCUGAAAGGGUAUUAAUAGAGCUAUUUUUCUUAUUUUCACUGCCUUUUUUUCCACUGAGUGAAAUGUUUUGGCUUUGUUCAGAUCAACUGUGUUUGAAGGAAACUUCCAUUACUACUGCUGGCCUUGUGGUUAUUUAGUUCACUGCUGACCCUAGAAAGUACCUUCUCCAGGUUGAAGCCAGCAUCAAAGCAGGAUGUUGUCAAGCUAUUGUAGCACUGCUGCCCUGUCAGGAAUAAAGUUUUGAUUUUUCUAGGGUUGUCACCAGUUUUCCUACCCAAACAUUUUUGACAAGUUUGAUCAAGGAAACCAAAUCAAGGACUGAAACAAAGUUUAUCAAGCUUAGCAAUCUGUACAAUUGUAGUUUGUAGGAAGCACACCUAUACCAUGAGCCACAGGUGGUAUGCAGACGUCAGGGCUGAAUGUCUGGGGUGAAAGUGGGGCAGGAUGUGUUUGUGAAGACUUUGAAGAAUCAUUUCUCUGUUGAAAAGAGGAAUUGUGUAUUUACUUUUUAAUAAAGUCACCAACUACCUUUGUAAUAGGUGAGGAUAAGUAGGGAAAUGUGGUGUUAUCCUUAUUUUACAGAAUUCAGUAUAACCUAGUUUUCAGAAUAAGAGAUUACUUAAGUCAUAGUCUUGCAUAUCUUAUCAGCAAGUACUGUGUUUUUCAAGGUGGCAUGGAAUUAAAAGCACACAAAAGAUACAAAAAUGGAGCACAGAAAGUGGUAACUGUAAAGGACAAAAAUCAACAGUGAGAGCUGAGAGAUAAAUGCUUCUGGUUCCUGAGAGCCCCCAUGAUUAUUUAUUUACAGUAUUUAAACAUGUGGGUGAGAAUAUCAAAGAGGGGAUACGAUGUCUGUCGGUUUAUGUGGUUAUGCUUACGUGGGAAGAUUUGUAUCUCUUUCACCCAGAGGUUCACUGACUGAUCUUUGUUCUCUGAACCUUCCAGAACAGGGAUUGUUACUGCUGUGUCCUUGCAGCUGCAGUGCCAGUACCUCACUGCUCAGCAAGUGAGAUCCUCCUACACUUUCCUUCAGACAUCUCCUCCUUGCCUUCAGGCCUUCCUGUUUGGGGUUGUUUUGCCAUCGUGUUGCUACUUUUUCUUGCCCAAGCUUCUGCUUCCUGACAUGUUAACAUGUACUGCCCCGUGCUCACAUGGCACACAGCUUCCUUCUCUGCUGGUUGCAUUCAGUGCUGUCACUCCCACAGGGAUGAGCAGGGUUUCUGCCUCAGCUUCCUUCCUUAAGCGGCCUCAUAGAAGAAGGAAGGAAAGGGAAAUCACUGAGCAUUAGUUUAUUGAACAGGAUAGACUUUCUGAAGUUCAAGACUUUCAUUUGCUGCCAGUCAGAGAAGAGAGGAGCUGGCCAUCACAAUCUUACUGAUGGAUAUACCUGAUGAACAAUUUGGCUUUGCCAGCUGUCUCCUGAAGAGCAGAAUUAUGGAGCCCAGAAGACUAAAAUCCAAUCAAGGCUGGCCUUAACAUCUACAGAGAAAUGCACAGAAGAUAAAAAAGAGAAGCAAAAAAAUUGAUGAUCACAAAGAAAGGAACAGAGGAAUGUAAUGAAAUAUUUGUGGAAAUGGCUAAACAUCCGAUUUCAAUAAAAAUAAUUUUUCACCCAAGUAUCAAGAGGAAAAGUUGGAAGAACUGGCUGUUGUCAUCUCAGAAGCCAUAUGCCUAUGCAUUAGAUGCUUAUGCACAAUGCCCACUUUGCUUUGCAGAGCUGAAAGUGAAACGGUAUGAAUAAACCAUCAUUUAUGAUCAUUAGUUAUACUGAGAAAGAAAAAGAGUAGCUUAUGCAUUUCUGUAUCUGGUUAUCUCUGUACAGAAAGAAAGAAAAUGGAGUUUCUUCCUCUUACAGGAAAUAGUUGGCUCUUAUAGCAUAUACUACCCACUUAACUAAGGGGGAAUCUAAUCAGGCAAAAGUGGAAAUAAAAGAUAAGAAGGAUUAUUUCUAAUCUGUAAUUAAUUCUUGGAAAUAAACAUGAGCAAGUCAGGCUCACUAAAGAAAUAAACAAAACUACAAUGUCCUCCAAUGCCUAUGUGAGUAGCAGAAUUAAGGAUAUCUGGUUCCCUUUGGGACUAUUUUCACCUCUCACAAGCCCUCUUCCCUGCUUCUAGAGCUUGCAGUGCAAUGCACGGCUACUUCAUCUGAUCCCAGCAGCCAUCCCUGCAAUGCUUUCAGUUUCAUACUAUAAGUCCCAAACAACUUCUUCCAUCUCUCUAGCUGAGGAAGAGACUGCUAAGUCAGUAUUUCAGAAAAGCAUGUUGUAACUGGCCUGUCAGCAAACAUCAUUUUACUGGAUUUUACUGGUAGGCCAAAGGCAAGGCCUCUUCUUUUAUCUGACAGGGCCCAUGGAUAGGGAACUCUAAACUUCCCACUGGCUUAUUCUCAUGGAAUAUAUAAGAACAUAGCAUAUUUGGGGUUUUGCACCCCUCUCUAGGAUUUCAUAGGCUAUGGGAUAAGGGUAGAGAGGGAAAGACAGGGUACAAUCAAGGA